UAGGGAAUCUUCCGCAAUGGGCGAAAGCCUGACGGAGCAACGCCGCGUGAGUGAUGAAGGUCUUCGGAUCGUAAAACUCUGUUAGCAGGGAAGAACAAAUGUGUAAGUAACUAUGCACGUCUUGACGGUACCUAAUCAGAAAGCGACGUCUAACUACGUGCCAGCAGCCGCGGUAAUACGUAGGUGGCAAGCGUUAUCCGGAAUUAUUGGGCGUAAAGCGCGCGUAGGCGGUUUUUUAAGUCUGAUGUGAAAGCCCACGGCUCAACCGUGGAGGUUCAUUGGAAACUGGAAAUCUUGAGUACAGAAGAGGAAAGUGGAAUUCCAUGUGUAGCGGUGAAAUGCGCAGAGAUAUGGAGGAACACCAGUGGCGAAGGCGGCUUUCUGGUCUGUAACUGACGCUGAUGUGCGAAAGCGUGGGGAUCAAACAGG
This 429-nucleotide ribosomal RNA is filed under the name Actinomycetes bacterium. Its description in RNAcentral is "Actinobacteria bacterium partial 16S ribosomal RNA". It matches the Rfam family "Bacterial small subunit ribosomal RNA", at positions 355 to 776 of the family's 1533-position model. The record is from RNAcentral. Lineage: Bacteria; Bacillati; Actinomycetota; Actinomycetes.